RNAcentral lists this ribosomal RNA (464 nucleotides) under Vreelandella stevensii. RNAcentral describes it as "partial 16S ribosomal RNA". It matches the Rfam family "Bacterial small subunit ribosomal RNA", at positions 338 to 795 of the family's 1533-position model. Lineage: Bacteria; Pseudomonadati; Pseudomonadota; Gammaproteobacteria; Oceanospirillales; Halomonadaceae. The record is from RNAcentral.
CCUAGGGUGGCAGCAGUGGGGAAUAUUGGACAAUGGGGGGAACCCUGAUCCAGCCAUGCCGCGUGUGUGAAGAAGGCCCUCGGGUUGUAAAGCACUUUCAGUGAGGAAGAACGCCUGGUGGUUAAUACCCAUCAGGAAAGACAUCACUCACAGAAGAAGCACCGGCUAACUCCGUGCCAGCAGCCGCGGUAAUACGGAGGGUGCGAGCGUUAAUCGGAAUUACUGGGCGUAAAGCGCGCGUAGGUGGCUUGAUAAGCCGGUUGUGAAAGCCCCGGGCUCAACCUGGGAACGGCAUCCGGAACUGUCAAGCUAGAGUGCAGGAGAGGAAGGUAGAAUUCCCGGUGUAGCGGUGAAAUGCGUAGAGAUCGGGAGGAAUACCAGUGGCGAAGGCGGCCUUCUGGACUGACACUGACACUGAGGUGCGAAAGCGUGGGUAGCAAACAGGAUUAGAUACCCUAGUAGUC